GAUCCUGGCUCAGAUUGAACGCUGGCGGCAUGGCUAAAACAUGCAAGUCGAACGAUUAAAGCCCCUUCGCGGUCUGUGGACAGUGGCGAAAGGGCGAGUAAUACGUUUCUAACGUGCCCAGAGGUCAGGGAUAGCCCAGGGAAACUUGGAAUAAUACCUGAUAACCCCGCGAAAUCGUAUGGUUUUGCGUGCAAAGGCUUGCUGCCUGGAGAUCGGGAAACGUCCUAUCAGCUAGUUGGUGAGGUAAAAGCUCACCAAGGCUAAGACGGGUAGCGGGUGUGAGAGCACGGCCCGCCGCAUCGGGACUGAGACACUGCCCGGACUCCUACGGGAGGCUGCAGUAACGAAUAUUCCGCAAUGCGCGAAAGCGUGACGGAGCAAUGCCGCGUGCAGGAUGAAGCCCCUCGGGGUGUAAACUGCUGUCAGGGUUUAGGAACACAAUGACCAGACCCAAAGGAAGGGCCGGCUAACUUCGUGCCAGCAGCCGCGGUAAUACGAAGGGCCCGAGCGUUAAGCGGAAUCACUGGGCUUAAAGGGUGCGUAGGCUGAAGGGUAAGUAUCUUGUGAAAGCCCACGGCUCAACCGUGGAACGGCAGGGUAUACUGCCGUUCUUGAGGCUGGUAGAGGCUGUCGGAACAAUAGGUGUAGCGGUGAAAUGCGUAGAUAUCUAUUGGAACGCCAAUGGCGAAGGCAGACAGCUGGGCCGAUUCUGACGCUGAGGCACGAAAGCGUGGGGAGCAAACAGGAUUAGAUACCCUGGUAGUCCACGCCGUAAACGAUGUGCACUAGAUCCUGGAGCCUCUGACGGUAUCGGGAUCGUAGAGAAAUUGUUAAGUGCACCGCCUGGGGAGUACGGCCGCAAGGCUAAAACUCAAAGGAAUUGACGGGGGCUCACACAAGCGGUGGAGCAUGUGGCUUAAUUCGAAUCAACGCGAAGAACCUUAUCCAGGGCUUGACAUGUAUGGAUUAUUGAUCCGAAAGGUGAUAGACGCUCUCUGAGUGGAACAUAUACAGGUGCUGCAUGGCUGUCGUCAGCUCGUGCUGUGAAGUGUCGGGUUAAGUCCCUUAACGAGCGAAACCCCUAUCACUAGUUGCCAUCAGGUUAUGCUGGGGACUCUAGUGAGACUGCCGGCGUCAAGCCGGAGGAAGGUGGGGAUGACGUCAAGUCCUCAUGGCCUUUAUGCCCUGGGCUUCACACGUGCUACAAUGGUAUCGACAGAGCGAAGCAAGACCGCGAGGUGGAGCAAAUCGCACAAACGAUGCCUCAGUUCGGAUUGUAGUCUGCAACUCGACUACAUGAAGUUGGAAUCGCUAGUAAUCGCGUAUCAGCAACGACGCGGUGAAUAAGUUCCUGAGCCUUGUACACACCGCCCGUCACGUCAUGGGUGCUCCGAGCACCCGAAGUAGCCACAACUCAGUGGUUCCUACGGUGAGCUCGGUGACUGGGACGAAGUCGU
This 1457-nucleotide ribosomal RNA is filed under the name uncultured prokaryote. Its description in RNAcentral is "partial 16S ribosomal RNA". It matches the Rfam family "Bacterial small subunit ribosomal RNA". The record is from RNAcentral.